GGCAGACUCGGUUGGAUGCCCCAGCCAAGGUAUCCCCGAGAAUGAGUUUUCGCACAAGCCGAAUUUUUAAGAAGUUCAUAAGCCAUGUUGAUUAUUUGAGUGAAAUGAAAUUAUUUUAUUUAGUUGAAAUGAGUUUGAAACGUUAUGAAUCAUAGUAUGAUGAACUAUUUUAAGUUGUCUCCAUUUACUCGACUUUAGAUAUUUUAGAUGAUGUUUGUUUACUCACUGAGUUUAUAUAAACUCACCACCCUCCUUUCCACUCAUUCCAAGAUCA
This 274-nucleotide long non-coding RNA is filed under the name Theobroma cacao (cacao). RNAcentral describes it as "long non-coding RNA (TCAC_LNC001793)". Lineage: Eukaryota; Viridiplantae; Streptophyta; Magnoliopsida; Malvales; Malvaceae. The record is from RNAcentral.